RNAcentral lists this ribosomal RNA (497 nucleotides) under uncultured Gemmobacter sp. RNAcentral describes it as "bacterial SSU rRNA". It matches the Rfam family "Bacterial small subunit ribosomal RNA", at positions 28 to 557 of the family's 1533-position model. Lineage: Bacteria; Pseudomonadati; Pseudomonadota; Alphaproteobacteria; Rhodobacterales; Paracoccaceae. The record is from RNAcentral.
AACGAACGCUGGCGGCACGCUUAACACAUGCAAGUCGAACGAAGCGCGCCAUUUCGGUGGCGGGCUUAGUGGCGGACGGGUGAGUAACGCGUGGGAACGUACCCCUGGGUGCGGAACAACAGUUGGAAACGACUGCUAAUACCGCAUGAUGUCCGCAAGGACCAAAGAUUUAUCGCCCAGGGAUCGGCCCGCGUUGGAUUAGGUAGUUGGUGGGGUAAUGGCCUACCAAGCCUACGAUCCAUAGCUGGUUUGAGAGGAUGAUCAGCCACACUGGGACUGAGACACGGCCCAGACUCCUACGGGAGGCAGCAGUGGGGAAUCUUAGACAAUGGGGGCAACCCUGAUCUAGCGAUGCCGCGUGGACGAUGAAGGCCUUAGGGUUGUAAAGUCCUUUCAGCUGGGAAGAUAAUGACGGUACCAGCAGAAGAAGCCCCGGCUAACUCCGUGCCAGCAGCCGCGGUAAUACGGAGGAGGCUAGCGUUGUUCGGAAUUACUGG